UCCCUGGUGGCUCAGAUGGUAAAGCGUCUGCCUGCAACGCGGGAGACCCAGGUUCGAUUCCUGGGUCGGGAA
This 72-nucleotide transfer RNA is filed under the name Ovis aries (sheep). It matches the Rfam family "tRNA". From Rfam's summary of the family: Transfer RNA (tRNA) molecules are approximately 80 nucleotides in length. Their secondary structure includes four short double-helical elements and three loops (D, anti-codon, and T loops). Further hydrogen bonds mediate the characteristic L-shaped molecular structure. tRNAs have two regions of fundamental functional importance: the anti-codon, which is responsible for specific mRNA codon recognition, and the 3' end, to which the tRNAs corresponding amino acid is attached (by aminoacyl-tRNA synthetases). tRNAs cope with the degeneracy of the genetic code in two manners: having more than one tRNA (with a specific anti-codon) for a particular amino acid; and 'wobble' base-pairing, i.e. permitting non-standard base-pairing at the 3rd anti-codon position. Lineage: Eukaryota; Metazoa; Chordata; Mammalia; Artiodactyla; Bovidae. The record is from Rfam by way of RNAcentral.